AACGAACGCUGGCGGCAGGCCUAAAACAUGCAAGUCGAACGGGUGUAGCAAUACAUCAGUGGCGCACGGGUGAGUAACGCGUGGGAACGUGCCCUUCAGUACGGGACAACGUCGGGAAACUGACGCUAAUACCGUAUAAUGACUCCGGUCCAAAGAUUUAUCGCUGAAGGAGCGGCCCGCGUCUGAUUAGCUAGUUGGUGAGGUAAUGGCUCACCAAGGCUACGAUCAGUAGCAGGUCUGAGAGGAUGAUCUGCCACACUGGGACUGAGACACGGCCCAGACUCCUACGGGAGGCAGCAGUUAGGAAUAUUGGACAAUGGGCGAAAGCCUGAUCCAGCCAUGCCGCGUGUGUGAUGAAGGCCCUAGGGUUGUAAAGCACUUCGUUGGGUAGUGAGUAAUAG
RNAcentral lists this ribosomal RNA (401 nucleotides) under uncultured bacterium. RNAcentral's name for it is "bacterial SSU rRNA". It matches the Rfam family "Bacterial small subunit ribosomal RNA", at positions 29 to 455 of the family's 1533-position model. The record is from RNAcentral.